This 440-nucleotide ribosomal RNA is filed under the name uncultured bacterium. RNAcentral describes it as "partial 16S ribosomal RNA". It matches the Rfam family "Bacterial small subunit ribosomal RNA", at positions 338 to 795 of the family's 1533-position model. The record is from RNAcentral.
CCUACGGGAGGCAGCAGUGGGGAAUAUUGCACAAUGGGGGAAAGCCUGAUGCAGCGACGCCGCGUGAGUGAAGAAGUAUUUCGGUACGUAAAGCUCUAUCAGCAGGGAAGAAAAUGACGGUACCUGACUAAGAAGCCCCGGCUAACUACGUGCCAGCAGCCGCGGUAAUACGUAGGGGGCAAGCGUUAUCCGGAUUUACUGGGUGUAAAGGGGGCGUAGACGGCCGCGCAAGUCUGGAGUGAAAUCCCAUGGCUUAACCAUGGAACUGCUUUGGAAACUGUGCAGCUAGCGAGCAGGUGGGGUAGGCGGAAUUCCUGGUGUAGCGGUGAAAUGCGUAGAUAUUAGGCGGAACACCAGUGGCGAAGGCGGCUUACUGGACUGUAACUGACGUUGAGGCUCGAAAGCGUGGGGAGCAAACAGGAUUAGAUACCCGUGUAGUC